Molecule: RNA transcript, 2124 nt
Organism: Brienomyrus brachyistius
Lineage: Eukaryota; Metazoa; Chordata; Actinopteri; Osteoglossiformes; Mormyridae
Gene name: interferon alpha/beta receptor 1-like
Exons: 7
Source: RefSeq, a predicted model, not a curated record
GUGAAAAUGUUUGUACUUUGCGUGACAAUUGUUUCACAACAGCAUUUAUUAUGCAGAUUUCUCCGCACGCCGCUUCCGGUUAGGGUCACGACUCUCCACCCAGUUCCGCUUCCCGACUGGAAAGAUGUCAGGUUGUAUUCGCCAUUGGGAAUUUAGGGAGAGGGGGAUUUCUCUUGAAGCUACGAUGUAAUCCUGAAUACGCAUCGGCGAAGUUUUUUUUUUAAACUGAAAUAUGAUCACCCAUUAUAUGUUGUCAGUAGGUGUAUUUCUCAUACUGUUCCUGAUUGAAGGUUUGUCCCUGCCAAGGCUGGAGAAUGUAACAAUUGAUUCUUAUAAUUUACAUAAUGUGAUACGUUGGAGUGCGCUACAGCCUUUGGACAAUACAACAUUAAAAUACAUGGUUCAGUAUAAAUACAGUGGCAUUGAUGCUUGGAAGAAUUAUGAAGGCUGUGCUCCUACAGUGGACACCUAUUGCAGUUUUCUUCCUCAGCAUCCAUACGUUAACGUGACCCUGCGGGUCCAAGCUCAGGCUGGAAACCACACUUCACCAUGGUCUCAGACUCAGCCAUUUAUGGGACACAUUCAGAGUCGACUGGGACAUCCAAACGUAACACUAACUCCUGUGGACCUCCACUCUUUACAAAUUGAGGUUGACCCUGAUACUAAUCUCAAAAAAUUGUAUGGCGAUGCACUCAAGUAUAGAGUAUUCUAUGGAAAAGAACAUGAACCUUUGAGGAUUCAUGAUGACUUGCCUUCCCCCAUGACCAUUACUUCGCUGGAGGCUGGGGUGAAGUAUUGCUUUAAGGUGUACUACGUCAUUUUCCCCGAUAAGAGACUGGGCAACAGUGCCAGCAAAUUGGAGUGCGUCACCACUGAAGAGUCGGAAAAGGAGAGGGUGAUCCGAAUAGCGUGGCUGUCAAUUCUUUUUGUCAUCCUUUCGGGUGCAGUUAUAUCGGGAUGCAUCUUUGUGGUUAUCCAAAACUACAGCAAAAUCAAAGAGUCUCUGUGGCCUGAUCUCAGUGUAGACUCGUGGAUUCUGGAGGUAUUAUACUUAAUUCCGUGUCAUGUGACAAGAAAUAUACAGAUAGCAGGGCUUUAGAUGGGCGUACCACUCUCUCUGGAUGCUAGCUUUUCUAUAUUAUACUUACACCCUCAGUUUGAUAAGCAGAUUAGUAGUAUGCCUAAAAUAUUAAUGAGGGAUGUAUUGUGAAUCCCAAAAGUUGGUAAUCUAGUAUUAAAUUCAGUUAUCGGAGCAUAUUGCUGUUUUGUUAUACCGUGGAAGCGAUAAGCACUUUAGUGGCGGUGAAGAAAGGGACAGCUCAACAGUCGCAACAUCUUUUAAAAGAGGAGCUAUCAUGGUUAAACAAGUAUGACUUCUCCAAAAUACCUAAGGAUAGGUUCUGCAACUCCUACUCCAAGGAGACCUGGGACAGGGUCUCUGUGAUCAUAGAGAAUGACAAUUAUCAAGGAGAGGAAAGUUAAUUUGCACAGCCUGGAAACUACUGUAGUAUAAAGCACGUCCAGUUCUAAGAUUGCAGAAAGUGAAGAAGACUUCUGAUGUGUUAAAUGUUAGUAUGUUAGUUGAUGAGUAUUGUUUGGUAAUGUUAGACUAUAGGUGUCAAGUCUUGUGGUUUACUUGUGAGACUCGUGUUUGUUUGCCCAUGUUGCCAUGAAUGGUUGUCAUGCCAAUCUCUACCCCAAUAGACAACCGCAUAUCAAACUUGCAUAUUGUGUAAUAACUAAAUGUGAUCAACUUGCAAUAGUGACUCGAUUUAAGAGGACGCAAGUAAACAUUUUCCCUUGUGUAAGGGAGACCCCUAAGACACUAAAUGGUUUUUAUGUGGAAAAUAUGAGCCGUGUUAAACACUUAUCUUUUGCUAAAGGGACAGUAAAUAGUUUUUAAUCUGAAUGCCAAAUUCAAUGCAUUUAACAAUUCCCUACUCAAUAUCAGACUGGUAAGAGUGGAUGCCUAAAUAUGGAUUGAUUGCAUGAUUUAUUUCUUUGGGUAUGUGUGGUAAAGAAUGUUGAUUUAAUUCUCAUAACACUUUCACAGCAUUGAUCUACUGGUGGAAUGCUGAUGGUAUGACUACCUAUUUUGAUCAAUUAAACAUGUUUGUUUAAAAA